RNAcentral lists this transfer RNA (69 nucleotides) under Mus musculus (house mouse). It matches the Rfam family "tRNA". Rfam says of the family: Transfer RNA (tRNA) molecules are approximately 80 nucleotides in length. Their secondary structure includes four short double-helical elements and three loops (D, anti-codon, and T loops). RNAcentral also lists the same sequence under 1 other name. Lineage: Eukaryota; Metazoa; Chordata; Mammalia; Rodentia; Muridae. The record is from Rfam by way of RNAcentral.
GGAGAUUUAGCUCAGCGGUAGAGCAUUUGCUUAGCAAGCACAAGGCCCUGGGUUUGGUCCUCAGCUCCA